AGUACUUUAUGCGUCAAAAGGAUUCGUCUGCCCAAGGAUGGGUCUGCGGCCUAUCAGGUAGUAGUGGGUGUAAUGUACCUACUAGCCAGCGACGGGUACGGGUUGUGAGAGCAAGAGCCCGGAGAUGGAUUCUGAGACAUGAAUCCAGGCCCUACGGGGCGCAGCAGGCGCGAAAACUUUACAAUGCGGGAAACCGUGAUAAGGGGACACCGAGUGCCAGCAUCAUAUGCUGGCUGUCCGGAUGUAUAAAAUACAUCCGUUAGCAAGGGCCGGGCAAGACCGGUGCCAGCCGCCGCGGUAACACCGGCGGCCCGAGUGGUGAUCGUGAUUAUUGGGUCUAAAGGGUCCGUAGCCGGUUUGGUCAGUCCUCCGGGAAAUCUGAUAGCUCAACUAUUAGGCUUUCGGGGGAUACUGCCAGACUUGGAACCGGGAGAGGUAAGAGGUACUACAGGGGUAGGAGUGAAAUCUUGUAAUCCCUGUGGGACCACCUGUGGCGAAGGCGUCUUACCAGAACGGGUUCGACGGUGAGGGACGAAAGCUGGGGGCACGAACCGGAUUAGAUACCCGGGUAGUCCCAGCCGUAAACGAUGCUCGCUAAGUGUCAGGCAUGGCGCGACCGUUGUCUGGUGCCGCANGGAAGCCGUGAAGCGAGCCACCUGGGAAGUACGGCCGCAAGGCUGAAACUUAAAGGAAUUUGGCGGGGGGAACACAACAACCGGGUGGANCCUGCGGUUUAAUUUGGACUCAACGCCGGGACAACUCAACCGG
This 768-nucleotide ribosomal RNA is filed under the name uncultured archaeon Cas20#4. Its description in RNAcentral is "bacterial SSU rRNA". It matches the Rfam family "Archaeal small subunit ribosomal RNA", at positions 174 to 934 of the family's 1478-position model. The record is from RNAcentral.